This 406-nucleotide ribosomal RNA is filed under the name uncultured bacterium. RNAcentral's name for it is "bacterial SSU rRNA". It matches the Rfam family "Bacterial small subunit ribosomal RNA", at positions 28 to 449 of the family's 1533-position model. The record is from RNAcentral.
GAUUAACGCUGGCGGCGUGCCUAAUGCAUGCAAGCCGAACGGCUCGAUUUAUCGAGCAGUGGCAAACGGGUGAGUAACACGUAAGAACCUACCCUCAAGUGGGGGAUAACCCCGAGAAAUCGGGGCUAAUACCGCAUACGCUCUCUGAUUCUGUCAGGGAGGAAAGUUGAGGCGCUUGAGGACGGGCUUGCGUCCGAUUAGCUUGUUGGUGAGGUAAUGGCUCACCAAGGCUGAGAUCGGUAGCUGGUCUUAGAGGAUGAUCAGCCACACUGGGACUGAGAUACGGCCCAGACUCCUACGGGAGGCAGCAGCAGGGAAUAUUGCGCAAUGGGUGAAAGCCUGACGCAGCAACGCCGCGUGGGGGAUGAAGGCCCUCGGGUCGUAAACCCCUUUUCUCAGGGAAGAU